RNAcentral lists this ribosomal RNA (498 nucleotides) under uncultured bacterium. RNAcentral's name for it is "partial 16S ribosomal RNA". It matches the Rfam family "Bacterial small subunit ribosomal RNA", at positions 28 to 507 of the family's 1533-position model. The record is from RNAcentral.
GACGAACGCUGGCGGCGUGCCUAAUACAUGCAAGUCGAACGAGAGCGACCGGUGCUUGCUCUGGUCAAUCUAGUGGCGAACGGGUGAGUAACACGUGGGUAACCUGCCCAUCAGAGGGGGAUAACAUCCGGAAACGGAUGCUAAAACCGCAUAGGUCUUCGAACCGCAUGGUUUGAAGAGGAAAAGAGGCGCAAGCUUCUGCUGAUGGAUGGACCCGCGGUGCAUUAGCUAGUUGGUGAGGUAACGGCUCACCAAGGCCGUGAUGCAUAGCCGACCUGAGAGGGUGAUCGGCCACAUUGGGACUGAGACACGGCCCAAACUCCUACGGGAGGCAGCAGUAGGGAAUCUUCCGCAAUGGACGCAAGUCUGACGGAGCAACGCCGCGUGAGUGAAGAAGGUUUUCGGAUCGUAAAACUCUGUUGUUAGAGAAGAACAAGUGCGAGAGUAACUGUUAGCGCCUUGACGGUAUCUAACCAGAAAGCCACGGCUAACUACGUG